RNAcentral lists this ribosomal RNA (266 nucleotides) under uncultured bacterium. RNAcentral's name for it is "partial 16S ribosomal RNA". It matches the Rfam family "Bacterial small subunit ribosomal RNA", at positions 793 to 1055 of the family's 1533-position model. The record is from RNAcentral.
GUCCACACUGUAAACGAUGAAUACUAGGUGUGCGGGGACUGACCCCCUGCGUGCCGCAGUUAACACAAUAAGUAUUCCACCUGGGGAGUACGAUCGCAAGGUUGAAACUCAAAGGAAUUGACGGGGGCCCGCACAAGCGGUGGAUUAUGUGGUUUAAUUCGAAGCAACGCGAAGAACCUUACCAGGGUUUGACAUCCUGCUAACGAAGUAGAGAUACAUUAGGUGCCCUUCGGGGAAAGCAGAGACAGGUGGUGCAUGGUUGUCGU